UUGAUGUUCUAACGUGGACCCGUAAUCCGGGUUGCGGACAGUGUCUGGUGGGUAGUUUGACUGGGGCGGUCUCCUCCUAAAGAGUAACGGAGGAGCACGAAGGUUGGCUAAUCCUGGUCGGACAUCAGGAGGUUAGUGCAAUGGCAUAAGCCAGCUUGACUGCGAGCGUGACGGCGCGAGCAGGUGCGAAAGCAGGUCAUAGUGAUCCGGUGGUUCUGAAUGGAAGGGCCAUCGCUCAACGGAUAAAAGGUACUCCGGGGAUAACAGGCUGAUACCGCCCAAGAGUUCAUAUCGACGGCGGUGUUUGGCACCUCGAUGUCGGCUCAUCACAUCCUGGGGCUGAAGUAGGUCCCAAGGGUAUGGCUGUUCGCCAUUUAAAGUGGUACGCGAGCUGGGUUUAGAACGUCGUGAGACAGUUCGGUCCCUAUCUGCCGUGGGCGCUGGAGAACUGAGGGGGGCUGCUCCUAGUACGAGAGGACCGGAGUGGACGCAUCACUGGUGUUCGGGUUGUCAUGCCAAUGGCACUGCCCGGUAGCUAAAUGCGGAAGAGAUAAGUGCUGAAAGCAUCUAAGCACGAAACUUGCCCCGAGAUGAGUUCUCCCUGAGACUUAGAGUCUCCUGAAGGAACGUUGAAGACGACGACGUUGAUAGGCCGGGUGUGUAAGCGCAGCGAUGCGUUGAGCUAACCGGUACUAAUGAACCGUGAGGCUUAACCUUACAACGCCGAAG
This 729-nucleotide ribosomal RNA is filed under the name Salmonella enterica. Its description in RNAcentral is "bacterial LSU rRNA". It matches the Rfam family "Bacterial large subunit ribosomal RNA", at positions 2214 to 2925 of the family's 2925-position model. Lineage: Bacteria; Pseudomonadati; Pseudomonadota; Gammaproteobacteria; Enterobacterales; Enterobacteriaceae. The record is from RNAcentral. RNAcentral also lists the same sequence under 3 other names.